RNAcentral lists this ribosomal RNA (515 nucleotides) under uncultured archaeon. RNAcentral's name for it is "bacterial SSU rRNA". It matches the Rfam family "Archaeal small subunit ribosomal RNA", at positions 1 to 521 of the family's 1478-position model. The record is from RNAcentral.
UCCGGUUGAUCCCGCCGGANACUACUGCUAUCAGGGUUCGGCUAAGCCAUGCGAGUCGAGAGGUGUAAGACCUCGGCGAACUGCUCAGUAACACGUAGCUAAUCUGCCCUAAAGUGGAGGAUAAACUUGGGAAACUGAGACUAAUACUCCAUAGACGAUUGAGGCUGGAAGGCGCUUUCGUUGAAAGAUUUAUCGCUUUAGGAUGGGGCUGCGGCCUAUCAGCCUGUUGUUGGGAUAAAAGCCCAACAAAGCUAUGACGGGUACGGGUCAUGAGAGUGAUUGCCCGGAGGUGGAUUCUGAGACAUGAAUCCGGGCCCUACGGGGCGCAGCAGGCGCGAAAACUUCUCAAUGGGCGAAAGCCUGAAGAGGGAACCUUGAGUGAUAUCGGCUAAGCUGGUAUCUUUUCUAUACUGUAAAUAGGUAGAGGAAUAAGUGGUGGGCAAGACGGUUGCCAGCCGCCGCGGUAAUAACCGCGCCNCGAGUUGUAGUCACGAUUAUUGGGUCUAAAGCAUCCG